GACGAACGCUGGCGGCGUGCUUAACACAUGCAAGUCGAGCGGUAAGGCCCUUUCGGGGGUACACGAGCGGCGAACGGGUGAGUAACACGUGGGUGACCUGCCCUCAGCUCUGGGAUAAGCCUGGGAAACCGGGUCUAAUACUGGAUAUGACUCCAUGACGCAUGUUGUGGGGUGGAAAGCCUUGUGCGGCUGAGGAUGGGCCCGCGGCCUACCAGCUUGUUGGUGGGGUGAUGGCCUACCAAGGCGACGACGGGUAGCCGGCCUGAGAGGGCGACCGGCCACACUGGGACUGAGACACGGCCCAGACUCCUACGGGAGGCAGCAGUGGGGAAUCUUGCGCAAUGGGCGAAAGCCUGACGCAGCGACGCCGCGUGAGGGAUGACGG
RNAcentral lists this ribosomal RNA (385 nucleotides) under uncultured bacterium. Its description in RNAcentral is "bacterial SSU rRNA". It matches the Rfam family "Bacterial small subunit ribosomal RNA", at positions 28 to 414 of the family's 1533-position model. The record is from RNAcentral.